UUUUAUUUGAGAGUUUGAUCCUGGCUCAGGAUGAACGCUGGCGGCGUGCCUAACACAUGCAAGUUGAGCGAUUUACUUCGGUAAAGAGCGGCGGACGGGUGAGUAACGCGUGGGUAACCUACCCUGUACACCCGGAUAACAUACCGAAAGGUAUGCUAAUACGGGAUAAUAUAUUUGAGAGGCAUCUCUUGAAUAUCA
This 198-nucleotide ribosomal RNA is filed under the name Clostridioides difficile. RNAcentral's name for it is "partial 16S ribosomal RNA". It matches the Rfam family "Bacterial small subunit ribosomal RNA", at positions 1 to 203 of the family's 1533-position model. Lineage: Bacteria; Bacillati; Bacillota; Clostridia; Peptostreptococcales; Peptostreptococcaceae. The record is from RNAcentral.